CUCUUAGAUGUCCGGGGCUGCACGCGCGCUACACUGAAGGAAUCAGCGUGCUAAAACCAUUGUCGAAAGGCAUUGGUAAACCCAUUAAAAUCCUACGUGAUUGGGAUCGGGAAUUGCAAUUAUUUCCCUUGAACGAGGAAUUCCCAGUAAGUGUGGGUCAUAAGCUCGCGUUGAUUACGUCCCUGCCCUUUGUACACACCGCCCGUCGCUGCCCGGGACUGAGCCGUUUCGAGAAAAGCGGGGACUGCUGCUGUCGGGGCUUUCGGGCCUUGGCUUCGGUGGAAACCGCUUUAAUCGCAGUGGCUUGAACCGGGCAAAAGUCGUAACA
RNAcentral lists this ribosomal RNA (328 nucleotides) under uncultured eukaryote. RNAcentral's name for it is "partial 18S ribosomal RNA". It matches the Rfam family "Eukaryotic small subunit ribosomal RNA", at positions 1470 to 1796 of the family's 1831-position model. The record is from RNAcentral.